RNAcentral lists this ribosomal RNA (122 nucleotides) under Helianthus annuus (common sunflower). Lineage: Eukaryota; Viridiplantae; Streptophyta; Magnoliopsida; Asterales; Asteraceae. The record is from RNAcentral.
GGUUGCGAACAUACCAGCACUAAUGCAUCGGAUUCGAUCUGGACUACGCAGUUAAGCGUGCUUGGGCGAGAGUAGUACUUGGAUGGGUGACCCCCUGGGAAGUCCUCGUGUUGCAACCCGUC